UUAAAAUCAUAGAUUGGAAAUAGUACUAAUAUAUUGUUUAUUUCAGCGAGUGGAGGUUUGGUGUGAUGCUCCAUAAUAAAAUUUAUUAGGAAUGGGUCCAUGAGAUGCAGGGUGAAAGUUAUAGUAGCCUGAGCCGUGUCCUCACGUUAUAGAGGUGAGAUAUCAAGCAACCUUUGCUUUGUAUCUAAAUUAAAGUUAUACAUUUAGGUGGCAUAAUGAAAUUUACACUUCAUCCUAUUUUUAGGUUGAAGUGUUUUUAUUUAUAUUAUCUUAAUGUAUAUAAAAUUGGGUGGCACCACGACUAUAUCGUCCCAUAG
This 317-nucleotide non-coding RNA is filed under the name Clostridium collagenovorans. Its description in RNAcentral is "T-box sequence". It matches the Rfam family "T-box leader". Rfam says of the family: Uncharged tRNA acts as the effector for transcription antitermination of genes in the T-box leader family. Lineage: Bacteria; Bacillati; Bacillota; Clostridia; Eubacteriales; Clostridiaceae. The record is from RNAcentral.